This 321-nucleotide unclassified non-coding RNA is filed under the name Hevea brasiliensis (rubber tree). Lineage: Eukaryota; Viridiplantae; Streptophyta; Magnoliopsida; Malpighiales; Euphorbiaceae. The record is from RNAcentral.
GAGUGGAGAUAUGGGUAAGAUAUCUUUAUUCUAUGUUACUGCCUGCAUCUUGAAGCUGGUAGGUAUAUUGUGACAGUUUUCUGUUAAUUUGUUUUUCCCCUAACAAUGUCGGUAAUCAGAAUAGUAUUUCAAUUUUAAGUUUAUUGUGUUUUACUUAUUAUCUAUGGUUUUUUCCCCCAGCACUUAUGUAAUAUGUUAUCGUUAUAAAAAAAGCCAAUAUUGUUCAUCAUUAUGAUCAACUCAUAACCAGAAUGAAUGGGAUUAAUUUGCAGCUAUCCAUACAUGGCAGUUGUUCUUAAUUUCAGUCAAAGCUGGGCCCUA